GUCAGGAUGGCCGAGCGGUCUAAGGCGCCAGAUUUAAGCUCUGGUUCUCGAAAGAGAGCGGGGGUUUGAAUCUCACUCCUGACA
Molecule: non-coding RNA, 84 nt
Organism: Trichonephila clavipes
Lineage: Eukaryota; Metazoa; Arthropoda; Arachnida; Araneae; Nephilidae
Source: the annotation of a GenBank genome assembly